GGAGGGAUGGCCGAGCGGUUUAAGGCACCGGUCUUGAAAACCGGCGUGGGGGGCGACCCCACCGUGGGUUCGAAUCCCACUCCCUCCGCCA
Molecule: transfer RNA, 91 nt
Filed under: Mesorhizobium sp. L-8-10
Lineage: Bacteria; Pseudomonadati; Pseudomonadota; Alphaproteobacteria; Hyphomicrobiales; Phyllobacteriaceae
Description: tRNA-Ser
Rfam family: tRNA
About the family: Transfer RNA (tRNA) molecules are approximately 80 nucleotides in length.
Source: RNAcentral